GGUUCUUCCCAUUGAUUAGGGUCUCUAUGGAUAGCCCAUGCAUUAACCAAUACAAUUGUGUCACGUGGUAUUUUGUACCCGCUGAUUGUACAAUCAUGGGAGGUUAGAUGUGGCACUAGCAUUGGAGCAGUUGGGUUCAAUCGAAGAGUCUCAGAGAUGAUUCCUUGAAGAUAUGGUAACUUGGGGAUAUCCGAUUCUUCUACAAGUCGUUUUUCUCCAAUUUGAGCGUCUAUCUCUUCUCUAGCCUUUUUUAGUACAUCUGGAUUGUUGAGCAAAUGAGCUAGAAUCCAUUCAAUUGUCACAGCUGAAGUGUCUACUCCUGCUAGUAGUAACUAAUAAAAAAAAAAAAAACCCGAGUAUGAAUGGAUAUGAAUAAUUAGAUUUAAAUGGACAAAAGAUUAGUGUAUAUAUCUAAUUAUUUUAUUUCAUUUAAUUUUUCAAUAAUUUAACUUAUGAUAGGAGGAAAAAAAAAGUUAAAAAAUAAUUGUAAGUUUGUGUCCAAUAUCUUAUAUACAAGUUAUUUAAAUAAUUUGAUUAUUUACUUUUACAAUAAAAUGAAUGGAAAACAAAAACUAAACUAUUUAUAAAAUAGAGGAGAAUCAAUAGGCUAAUUCUAAUGUCUUAAUAAAUAAGUUAGUAUCCACUACAAAAAUAUUUUGUUUUUUUUUUUAAUUCCUUGAGAAACUCCCAAUUUUAAAUAUCUUGAAUAUAUUUGUUUACUAAAAUUUUAUUUUGAAAAGAUUAUUUAGUAAGUCUAUAUCAGAUCUUUUGUACAUAAUAUUAAACUUUCAGUACUGAGUUUAGUAAUAAUCUUUAGAAAAAGAAUUUUGAUAGCUUAACCAAAAAUACUCAUGAAAGAUUCAUUCUUUUCCGUUCUUUUAUUUUCGUUUGUACUUUCUUUGACCCUUCUUUCCAUAUUUUUUUCUGUAAUUUUAUUUUUAUUUUUAUCUUUUUUUUCUCUUCUUUUGCAAAUAUAUUUUAAACUAAAUUUCUUUCUAUUUAGAAAAAAAUGAAUUAAAAUUUACGGUUUUUUAUUAAAAAAUAUUUUAAUGUUUUUUUUCUCCACCUACAUAUUUUUUCCAACUUAAGCUUUGAAUUUUGGUAAUUUUGAUUAGUUAUAUUAAAGUAUGCUUUUACUAACUUUUGUUCCAUUCUUUUUAAUCUUUAGUCGUAUAAUAUGUUUUUCUAAUUAUAAAUUAGUUAAGUCUUAACUAAUUUUUAAUUUGAAUUAACUGAGUAUAACUACAAUGUUAUAUUAAGCAUCAUUAUGAUCCGAAUAAAAUUUCAAAUGUUUUUUUAUUAUAAUUGAAUAAAUGUUGUAAAUUAUAAUAAAAUUUUCAACAAUUAAUUUCUUAUAAUUUUUUUCGACUCUAUUUUAUGAGAAUUUUUAAAAAUAGGUAAUUUUAUAAAAUAUUUACCAAAUUGUCUAUGACAAAUUCAAUUAUUGAUAUGUCAUCACACAUAAAAUUCAAUCAAAAUUCAAAAUUCAAAUUUUGUUAUAGAAACUAAACAUUUUAAUUUAUUUUGCUAUUUUAAAAAAUGUUCAUUUAUUUUACUUAUAAUUUAUAAUUUUGUUUACUAUUGUUUUAUUUAUUUAUAUAUAUUGUUGACAGUUGCUCUUUUAAUUGUUUUAUUUAGAAUAUUUUUCAACUAUUGUUGGUUUAUUAUUGUUCUAUCUAUAACCUUUUUUUUACUAACGUCAAGUGAUAACCGUCACCAACCUCUAAUCACAAUCUACGACAAAAAGUAGUAAUAAUGAUAAAUACUUUUUAAUAAAAGAAAAAAUAACAUUGAAAAUAACUUAAAAUAUUUUUAAAAAAUAAAUAACCAUUAAUAUUUGUAUUUAGUUUUUCUAAAUAGAAAGAAAUUUAGUUUAAAAAUACAAAUAAAAAAGCAUCGAAGAAAAGAGAGAAAAAGAGAGGAGAAAUAAAGAAUAAAAAAGGGAUAGAGAGUCUAAGCUGUUAAAAAUAGUAAAAUAAACGGAAAUAUUUAAUAAAUAUAGUAAAUUUAUAAAAAUUUUGCCAUAGACUGUUAAAAAUAUUUAUAAAAUACAAUAAAAUUUCAAAUUAUAUAAAUGAUUUUACAAUAUUUUUGUUCUGUUCACAAUUUUAUAUUUGAAAAGGUUUAUUUAUCAAUGUUUUCCCCCAAAAGUUUUGUAUUAGAUUUUAUGGCAAAUAUAUGCUAUGACUACAGGAGAGACGUAGCCGCAAGGUCACUACUUCCAAUCCAAAAGAGAAGGAAAAAACUCCAAAUUCACGAGCAGGAUUAACUAAAACCGAAUGGGAAUGGAGAUUGAAAAUUGUUUACUUAAAGGAAGGUUAUUGAAAGUGAGUGAGAAAUUAUGGAGAUUAAUUACCAGAACAAUUCCUUUGAUUAUUUCAUCUCCAUAGUACUCAGGCUCCAUUUCCUGCAGAGAUAGCAAAUGACCGAUCACCGUGUUCCUUUCUUCUUCCUUAUUGCUCCGAUGUUCAUCAAUCAAUCCCUGCAGAAACGCGUCCAUCCUCUUCGCAACUCUCCAAACCUUCCUCUUAAAUCCAUUCGGGAUCCAAUUCAUCAUCGGAAUGAAAUCUCCCGGAUACGAUACUCCUCCCAUCGACACGAUCUGUUUAAUCAGCUCUCUCGACUGUCUCGCUUCCUCCACAUCCCUCACCUCCUCACCAAAAUACCUCUUUCCUGCCGCCAUUCUCAUCGAUAUGUUAAACGUCCGUUCCGAAAUCGCCGACUGCAUCUCUACUUUCGAGAAUCCAUACAUCGAAUUUCUCGAUAGCUUCUUCAGUAACCGUUCCACUUCAUCCUUCCGGCUUCCUGCGAAUUUAUUGAGGCGAGACGCUGAAAAGAUCUCGAUCGCGCCGAUUCUGCGGAGGUUCCGCCAGUGAUCUCCAUAAGGUGACGAUACCAUCGUAGUGUAGUUGUAGCUGAUGUGUUUCCCGACUAGCAAGCGAGGACGGUUGGCUAAAACAAUGUCGUUCUUAGUGAAACACUCCUCCACUGCCGGCAACGAGGAGACGACCACAACGAGGCGAGAUCCAAGCCAGAGAGAGAUUACUGGUCCGUAUUGCGCAGAGAGUUUGUGUAAAGUUUGGUGAUGGGGGAUUUUGAGGUAAUGGAGGUGGCCGAUGAUAGGGAGAGACGGGGGACUGGGGGGUAAGUUUGUACGGCGGGUGCGGAGGUUGAAAGCGAAGAGGAGAGAGAUAAGGGAGAGAAAUAGGUAAAGGAGAGAGUAAAUUUGCAUGGCGUUUUUGUUGAAAAAAGUAAUAUUUAAAUUUGGAGUUGGGGAGUGAAGAUGAAGAGGUGGCUACUAGGGGUGAGGUAUUUAUAGAGAUUGAAGCCACCAGAAUGACCUUGGCAGUGUGCUGUAAUAACAUACAUUAUGAAGUCCAUUUUAUGUACGAGUUUCAAUUGAAAUCCAAAAUUUCUAUGCAUGUAAAUCCAUCUUGAGUAGAGACAAAACUAUAUAUUAAUCUUUUUCCACGUUGACAAAGUAUCUGCUGAAGAUACUCAACCCCUUUUUGGCUUCUCUCUCUUCUUUCCUUUUAUCUAUUAUAAUCAUCAUAAUCGAAGGAAAAUGCAUGACUGACAUGUGUAGAGUUUAAUGAUCCUUCAAUUGCCAUAUGUAUCAACAGUUAUGAGAUUUUCAAUUUUAAUAAUACUCUCUAGUUCUUCCUAUUCUUAAAAGAGACUACGAUUGCUUUUGUGGUUGAAAAUUAGACUCAUCAUGUCUCACAUAUAUUCUACUAAAAAUGUGAUUAUUUUUAAAUAUUUAAAGAAUUUACAUAAUAAUCAUGACAUAUUGUAGUGCAUCAAUGCUUUUUUAUUGGUACAUAAUUUCAAAGUUUCAAAUUUCUUGUUUUUACUUUCUUUUUUUUUUUAACGAAUAACAAAUUUGACCUGAAAUUAAAAUUUUAAUCAAUGUUUUCUAAUAAGACGUGUCAACUCUAGCUUAUAUCAAAUAAUUGAAAGAUGUAUAUAUUAUGGACUAAAAUAUUAGAGAUUUAAAUCUUUUCACAUUACUGUUUUCAAAAACCGCAUCAACAAAAUGUAUUCAUAAAGUGCAACUAAAUAUUGUGUUCUGAAAAUUCCCACAACAAAUUUAUAGAAGUAUUACAACAAGAUUGGAAUCAAAUAAUAAAAUAUAUAAUUUCUUUGAUCACAUCUAAAUUAUAUGGAAUGAAUAUAGUUAUUAGACUCUUACUAGUAUCAAUUUAAAUUUUAAACUUACAUUCUACUUAAAUACAUUUGAGAAAGUUGAAAGUCUAAAUUGAUAUAAUAAUGAGUUUAGGGUUUAAAUUGGUAUUGAUAUAUAAUUGCCAUAAAUUUUAUAAAUCUUUGAAUUGAUUAGACCUAAACUUCUCAGUUGGACAACAAAUAGAGAACUGUUCAGUACCGAUUUAAACUUUAUAAGAUAGACGAUGUGAUUUGUUAGGUAUUGUUAUAAUCCAAAUAUUUAAAACUGAAAAGUAAGUUUGCCCAAGCUUCCCAUGUUAAUUAGAGUCUAAUGGGAGUAAACUUACCUGACUUAUAAAUAUUAUUUAAAAAUGUUUACCCAUUAGCAUGAUUUUAAAAUUUUAUAUGUAUUAUAUUAUUUUAGAUUAAUAAUUUUUUUAUUAUUCGUAAGUGUUUAUUGUUUCAUUCUAAAAUUUAAAUAAUUUACACUUUAAACACGUGUUAUUAUAAUCAAAACUAAAAUAGUUUACAUUUCAAACACAUAAUAUUAUAACUAAAAUUAAAAUAAUUUACUAUUCAAAUACAUAUUAUUAUAAUAAAAACUAAUAAUAUAUUAUUGGAUCGUUAUAAUGGUUACAAUACUCUAUAAUAACUUAGGAACAUAAUAACCAACUUAUAUAUAUUGAUAUAGAUUCAUAUGAUUAGGUAUUUAGGAAUUGUUAAACAUGGAAGUAAAGUUGAAAUGAAAUUAUGACUUAUGGAAAAACAAAACAAAAGUAAAAAAGAGAAACAGAAUCUUCCAACCGAAUAAAUGGAAAAAUGGGACAAAAUUUCAAAUAAACCUAAAAAAAAAUGGGGAAUACAUAAAACAAAUGCAGUAUUGAUGAGAAAUGAGAGGAUGUAAUGUAAGGGGUAGAAAAGGCAAAAUAAGUGUAAAAUGAGUUAGACCAUAUAUUUCUAAACUUUUGCUACAAAUAAUAGGUAAUAUAUAUAUGCAUCAUUAUUCAAAUUAAAUCUCAAUUACCUAAUGCUAUGAUACAACAAAUCAACCAUACAUCAACAAGCCUCCUUGAAGAUAUAUAUAUAUAUAUAUAUAUAUAUAUAUAUAUAUAUAUAUAUAUAUAUAUAUAUAUAUAUAUAUAUAUAUAUAUAUAUAUAUAUAUUGUGAAUUAUUAAAUAUAAACAAUACCUUUAAAUUAAUAAUCCAAUCAUUUUUCAGUUAAAAAUGUUGUGGACGAUAGGACGAGCUUUGCACAUAGCUUCCAAUGGCACCACCUUGGGCAUAGUGACGCCUCUUCCUUCCGUCAUGUCCACUUUCUCUUCCCCAAUCCUCUCCCACUCGUAGCAUUGAAUCAGAGUCGCUAGAGUCAGUCCCACCACUCGUUGAGCCAUGCUGGAGCCGGGGCAAGCUCGUCGUCCGACUCCAAAUGGAAUCAUCUUUGGGAUUUGAUGAUGGUCACUUGAUUCUAAGUUUUGGUGUCUUUCUGGCUUGAAUAAUGUGGGCUCUUCCCAUUGACUAGGGUCUCUGUGGAUAGCCCAUGCAUUAACCAAUACAAUCGUAUCACGUGGUAUUUCGUACUCACUGAUUGUACAAUUGUUGGAUGUUAGAUGUGGCACUAGCAUUGGAGCAGCUGGGUUCAAUCGAAGAGUCUCAUAAAUGAUUCCUUGAAGAUAUGGUAACUUAGAGACGUCUAAUUCUUCUGCUAGUUGUUUUUCUCCAAUUUGAUUGUCCAACUCUUCUCUAGCCUUUUUUAGUACCUCUGGAUUGUUGAGCAAGUGAGCUAAAGCCCAUUCAAUUGUCACAGCUGAUGUGUCUGUUCCAGCUAGUAGUAACACCUGUACGCUUAUUUUUGUUUAGAGUUUGAUAUAAUACACACAAAACAGAUAUCACAAAACAAAAACAAAUCCUACCAAGUCAAUAAUUAGGACUAAAUAUGGAAAAAUUAGUAAAAAAAAAUCUAAACAAUGUUAUUUCAAAGCAAACACUCUUUCAUGUUACUCCUAACCCUAAAGCUUGUAAGCCAUAAUUAAAUAUGAAAAUUAAUUAAUGGUAAUUUUCUCUCUACAAUAUGGCCAAGUGCUUCCCCAACGUCAAAGGUGCGUGACUUUUUCUUUUUUCACUCAAAGCAAACAGUUUGUGCAUGAAAAUAUUAGAGCAUUUUUCUAUCUUUGCCCCAAAAUGCUUUUAAAAAUAGUUUGAGGGGAAAUGCUAAAUGUAGAGGAGAGACGAUAGGGGUCCCCCAGGCCGCAAGGCCACCACUUUGAAUCUUCGUUGCCAUUCUGUCCUAUUAUAUGUUCUUAUAUAUAUUUCGGGGAUUACCCAAAAGAGAUGGAUAAAGAGCAAAAUUCUUGAGAAUAAUGGCAAUGAAGAUUGAAAAUGAGUGAGAAAUUAUGGAGAUUAAUUACCAGAACAAUUCCUUUGAUUAUUUCAUCUCCAUAGUACUCAGGCUCCGUUUCCUGCAGAGAUAGCAAAUGAUCGAUCAUUGUGUUCCUUUCCUCUUCCUUAUUGCUCCGAUGUUCAUCAAUCAAUCCCUGCAAAAACCUGUCCAUCCUUUUCCCAAGUCUCGAAACCUUCCUCUUAUAUCCAUUCGGGACCCAAUUCAUCAUCGGAAUGAAAUCUCCCGGAUUCGAUACUCCUCCCAUCGACACAAUCUGUUUAAUCAGCUCUCUCGACUGUCUCGCUUCCUCCACAUCCCUCACUUCAUCACCGAAAUACCUCUUUCCGGCCGCCAUUCUCAUCGAUAUGUUAAACGUGAGUUCCGAAAUCGACGAUUGCAUCUCUACUUUCGAGUAUCCAUGCAUCGAAUUCCUCGAUAGCUUCUUCAGUAACCGUUCCACUUCAUCCUUCCGGGUUCCUGCGAAUUUAUUGAGGCGAGACGCUGAAAAGAUCUCGAUGGCUCCGAUUCGGCGGAGGUUCCGCCAGUGGUCUCCGUAAGGUGACCCUACCAUCGUAGUGUGGUUGUAGCCGAUGUGUUUUCCGAAUAGCAACCGAGGACGGUUGGCUAAAACGAUGUCGUUCUUAGUGAAGCACUCCUCCACUGCUGGCAAUGACGAGACGACCACAACGAGGCGAGAUCCAAACCGGAGAGAGAUUAAUGGUCCGUAUUUUGCAGAGAGUUUGUGUAAAGUUCGGUGGAGGGGGAUUUUGAUAUAAUGGAGGUGGCCGAUGAUGGGGAGAGACGGAGGACUGGGGGGUAAGUUUGUAGGGCGGGUGCGGAGGUUGAAGGCGAAGAGGAGAGAGAUAAUAGAGAGAAAUAGGUAAAGGAGAGAGCAACAUUCCAUGGCGUUUUUGUUAAAGAAGAAGUAUGUUUAAAUUUGGAGUUGGGGAGUGAAGAUGAAGAUAUGGGUACAUGGGUGAGGUAUUUAUGGUAUUGAAGCCACGACAACGACAUUGUGUAAUCACAUUCAGCUAUUUUAAACUAAAUAUAAUUCCAUCAAAUAUCUUUCUUCUUCAUUUCCUUUCCCAACAUUUUCAAAUCUGUUUACUCCUCAGACCUUAGUUAUAGAAAAACCAAUAUCAUAGGUUUAAUCAAUUAUUUAUUUGGCCAACUUUUCGUAAUGUUUCUAAUGCUUUUGUUUUUGUGCACCCAUGGAAUGAAGAGUAUAAACGUCCAUUUCUUUCUUUUAUCGCUUUUUUAGUAUUAGUCAUGUCAUAUGCAAAUAUGUUUUUGUAACAUCUUUUGUGUGGAUGGAUUUGGUUUCAUUUCUUUCUUCUUCUUUUCAUUCUUUUCUUCCUGUUUUUGUUUAGUUUGUGCUUUGACAUACGUUCAAAUUUAAUACAUUUGCAAACAUAAUAUAAUAAAUAAUAAUAAUAAAAUAAUUAAAAAAAGCUUAGAGUUAGAUAUGUUUAGUUGUAAUGCUAGUUUAGCUAAAGUUUAUUUAUUCAUUUAUAAAUCUUCUCGACAUAUGUUCGUUCAAGGUUUGAUAUAUCUUUUAAAAAUAUUGAUAACUGACACUCCUCUUCUCUUUUUCAUGUCUUUUAUCCUACCUCAUAAUAGUAACUAAGGAACGGACAAAUAGACCAUAAUAUAUAUGCAUUACUAUUCAAAUUAAAUCUUAGUUACUUAAUAUUCUACCAUACAACAAAACAACCCUACAUUAACACACCUCCUUUUAAGAUAAAGAUGUCACUUUCUUUUUUUUUUUUUUUUUGUAAAUUAUUAAAUAUAAACAAUACCCUUAAACAAUCCAAUCAUUUUUCAGAAUUUUUAGUUAAAAAUGUUGUGGAUGAUAGGGCGAGGUUUGCACAUGGCUUCCAGUGGCACCAUCUUGGGCAUAGUGACGCCUCUUCCUUCCGACAUGUCCACUUUCUCGUCACCAAUCCUUUCCCACUCGUAGCAUUGAAUUAGCGCCGCCAGAGUCAACCCCACCACUCGUUGAGCCAUGCCCGAGCCGGGGCAAGCUCGUCGUCCGACUCCAAAUGGGAUCAACUUUGAAAUAUGAUGAUCAAUUGAUUCUGACUUUUGGUGUCUUUCUGGUUUGAAUAGUGUGGGUUCUUCCCAUUGAUUAGGGUCUCUAUGGAUAGCCCAUGCAUUAACCA
RNAcentral lists this long non-coding RNA (8704 nucleotides) under Cucumis sativus (cucumber). Its description in RNAcentral is "long non-coding RNA (CSAT_LNC002481)". Lineage: Eukaryota; Viridiplantae; Streptophyta; Magnoliopsida; Cucurbitales; Cucurbitaceae. The record is from RNAcentral.